Molecule: long non-coding RNA, 358 nt
Organism: Myxocyprinus asiaticus (Chinese sucker)
Lineage: Eukaryota; Metazoa; Chordata; Actinopteri; Cypriniformes; Catostomidae
Exons: 3
Source: RefSeq, a predicted model, not a curated record
CUCUGCUAAUUCAUCAGUUGAAGCCAAGAUAUCCUUCUGAUGCAUUAUCAGCUUUGUCACAGGAGAGGUUCCAACUGGCCUUGCAUUCAUAAAGAAGAGAUAUGCAGUGAGAAACAUUUUUACACUCGCACUGGAAAUAAUCUUGAACAAGUUAAAGAAAUCGUCCAAGAACAACCAAUGGUUAUAAAGGUUCUGGAGAAGCGGCCUACACACUUUUUCGAAGAACUGAUCUGUGAGGAAUUUUUCUGCAUCACCAACAAAGACCUCCUGGGAAUCUUCAGAGCAGCCUCCAUGGCUCAAGUACACACCUAAACUUCUGAAAUUGUACUGUGACAGAAAAGGAACUUUUGGGAAGGAC